This 121-nucleotide small RNA is filed under the name Marmota monax (woodchuck). Lineage: Eukaryota; Metazoa; Chordata; Mammalia; Rodentia; Sciuridae. The record is from RNAcentral.
GCCGGGUGUGGUGGCUCAUGCUUGUAAUCCCAGCUGCUCAGAAGGCUGAGGCAGGAGGAUCGUGAGUUCAAAGCCUCACCAAAAGUGAGGUGCUAAGCAACUCGGUGAGACCCUGUCUCUA